This 87-nucleotide transfer RNA is filed under the name Candidatus Giovannonibacteria bacterium. Its description in RNAcentral is "tRNA-Ser". It matches the Rfam family "tRNA". From Rfam's summary of the family: Transfer RNA (tRNA) molecules are approximately 80 nucleotides in length. Their secondary structure includes four short double-helical elements and three loops (D, anti-codon, and T loops). Lineage: Bacteria; Candidatus Giovannoniibacteriota. The record is from RNAcentral.
GGAGGUGUGGCUGAGUGGUUGAAGGCGCCGCUCUCGAAAAGCGGUAUGCUGGAAACGGCAUCGGAGGUUCGAAUCCUCCCACCUCCG